Molecule: ribosomal RNA, 416 nt
Filed under: uncultured bacterium
Lineage: Bacteria
Description: bacterial SSU rRNA
Rfam family: Bacterial small subunit ribosomal RNA
Source: RNAcentral
GAGCCCGGCAUCGCAUGAUGUCAGCGGCAGACGGGAGAGUACACGUGGGAACGUGCCCUUCAGUUCGGAACAACCCAGGNAAACUUGGGCUGAUACCGGAUACGUCCGUAAGGAGAAAGAUUUAUCGCUGAAGGAUCGGCCCGCGUCUGAUUAGCUAGUUGGUGGGGUAAUGGCCCACCAAGGCGACGAUCAGUAGCUGGUCUGAGAGGAUGAUCAGCCUCACUGGGACUGAGACACGGCCCAGACUCCUACGGGAGGCAGCAGUGGGGAAUAUUGGACAAUGGGCGCAAGCCUGAUCCAGCCAUGCCGCGUGGGUGAUGAAGGCCCUAGGGUUGUAAAGCCCUUUCGGCGGGGAAGAUAAUGACGGUACCCGCAGAAGAAGCCCCGGCUAACUUCGUGCCAGCAGCCGCGGUAAU